This 315-nucleotide unclassified non-coding RNA is filed under the name Hevea brasiliensis (rubber tree). The record is from RNAcentral. Lineage: Eukaryota; Viridiplantae; Streptophyta; Magnoliopsida; Malpighiales; Euphorbiaceae.
AGAUAGGUUUCCUCUCAUAGACACCAAGCAUAGUAUGGAAUUUGAUCACUCUAAGAAGAUGAUAAAGUUGGGAAAGAAACUUGUGCCUUGCUGGUUGCUGCCUCUAGCCUUAUAAGAAAUCCCACCCAUAAAGAAAUGCUAAAGAAGUUCUCACUUUUGGUUACUGCAAUGCUUGCCCUAGUUAGUAUUGUGUUUAUUCCGUUUUCUUGCUUAGCUUUAUCUCUGUUGUUAACCUGGUAAUUCAUAAAAUUGAUCGUCUCUCUCUCUUUAAAACCUCUCUCAAAUCAGAUUUAGAUAUACAACCGGAUAUUCUCA